GAGAACAGUUCUUAUGGAGACACUUGGCGACACCUGUCGGGCAAGUGAUCAGCUGGAGCAGGUGUGUGUGAUGCUGUAUGGAGAAUGUUGGUGAGGAUGACCCCCCAGCGAGCUGCUCAUGGACUCAGAACCUGGAGGAGGAGGGCUGAAGAACCCCCCCACCCUCAAAAAAAAACAGACCCCCCUCCCCUGAAGACCAGCACCAGCUGCCUCCUCCUGCAGACCUCCUGCGGACCUUCAGCUAUAAACAAGCGCACAUUAAGCAUAUAAAACACAUAUGACAUGAGUUCUAACUGUGAUUAUCUUAACACACACACACACACAGACAGACACAUGCACAGCUACACACACGCACACACACGCACACACCUCAGAAGUCAGAGUUCAGGUGGUGUUCUUGGAAGUGUGUAGACAAAGUCCUUGUUACUGGGUGGGCCGGUUUACGGAGGGACAAAACACUGGCAUUCAGCUCUCUGCAGGGCCGUGUGGGUCCGUGUGGGUCUGUGUGCCUCAGAGUGUGUUCACGGUGUGUGUGUGUGUGUGCGUGUGUGUGUGCGUGUGUGUGUGUGUCUCUGUGUGUGUGUGUGUACCUCAGGGUUCAGCUGAAGGAUUUCUAGGAAAAUGCCUCUGCAGUCCCUCUUUGCAGAAACAUCGCACAAGUUUGAAAACACGAGACAGGCAAGAUGUAAAUAUUGUUGUGAAAAAGGAGCGAAGGUUAAUGGAAAUUUAAACACCACCAUUGUUCUUUCUUCUGUUCAUUUGUCUGCACACAAACACACACACACACACACACACACACACACACACAUGCAGGUGGAACCAGAGAACACGCUGCUCCAGCAAUGUGAUCCAUGACAUAAAGAUGCAUAUUGAUUACUUUAAUGGGAGACCAAAGAGUUUGUUUGGAUUCAUUGAAAGGAGCAGCUUCCUUUGAGUGUGUUACAUAAGAAGCAUGACAUAACCCCUCCCACGCACACGCACGCACACACACGCACACGCAAACACACACGCACACACACACACAAACACACGCGCACACACCUGAGUUAGAAACAGUUUGUCCUCAGAGUUACAAACAAACUGGCGAAGAGAGAUAAAAUAAAAUAAGGGGGAUUUAAGAUAAAAAGAUUCUGUAGAAAGAGUUUGUUUUAUUUGUCUUAUAAAAUCUUCUUUCUUCGACUAAAUAUAUUGGAUCAGAUGGAAAAUACACACAUCUGAGGUCUGUUUCAUAUUUCUAAAAAUAAAUGAUGUUUUCAGUCUUAAGAGCAGACAGAGAUUCAGUGAUAGAGACGUUGAGUCACACACACACACACACACACACACACACACACACACACAGACUCUGGAUCCAGAUGUUGCUGAUGAUGUCAUUGUCUCAAGACUUUCUCCUCAUGAAUCAUCAUCAUUAUCACACACACACACACACACACACACGACUAGACAAGGAAAAUGAGCAAUAAACAAGUUUUUGUUUUUCAUCGAUUUAAUGAAAACAAUGGAAUCAUGUAAUGAGAAUCUAACAUAAGAUUAUUUAACUUUGAGUGGAUUAUUGAUUUACUUGUGGUGUUGUUUUGUUGUUGAACCUGGGGUGACUCACUCCGUUACACACAGACACACAAAAGUAUUUAUAGGGUUAAAGGAGCCCAGCCUAAUGAUGCAUAGAUAGUGGUAAUCCUAGUAAUAGUCUUGUGGUAUUAUUUGAAUAAGUGGUAUUUACGGUGUGCCUACGUAUAAUGGGAAUAUUUAAAGUAGUAGUGGUACAGUGGGGGUAUUUAUAGUGGUAUUCAUAGUAAUAGCACAGUGGUAGUAGUUAUAGCGGUAUAUAUAAACAGGAGAAAGAGAUGAAGAAGCCGGACAUGACUCGGCAGAAACCCUCGGUUCUUGCUCACGAACCCCAUCUCAUCCCAGAUGUGUCACAGCUGCAUCGGCUCCCCGAUAACACGGCGGAGUUACUGACCGGGCAGUGAUGCCGUUACCUGGAAACGAGACUCCCCUCCUCCGCCGUAUGUUUUGAGAGGGAAACACCCCAAAUCAUGUACAGCCGCGUCUUUGUGCGGCCCAAACAGACGCCGUCAUGUGACCAGAAACACACAUGGCCGCGGCCAUGUUUGACCCCCAAUGUGAACACAGGGCAGUGUGUCUGUGUGUGUGUGUGUGUGUGUGUGCUACAGUAAUUAACUGACUCACAUCAUCACGUGGCUCUUUGGACCUUUUGUUCUGUAACUUCACUUCGAAUGCAAAACGAUAGGGUGGUUUUGGACUCGGUGUUAAGAAUGAAAACAAGCGGCAGCAGCGUGGCGGCGCCUUAAGGCGCGUUCACUGACUCAUUGACUGACACAACCUGUGACGUGUUCACAGCUCCUAAAUCACUUCAGAAGACGGUGUCUGAAUGCGUCACUGAGCGCAGUUUAAAUUUUAUUUCAUGGAGCUCCAGGUGAUUUUAGUCUUUAUUCCUCUUUAUUCCUCAAUCAUCAGCCGAUCCCUCCCCGUUAAGACAGGCUGUCAGUGCUUUAAAUCAGAUGUCGAGAUCAGCUCCUCUUCCCAAACGCACAAUGAAACAAUUGCAUUGUUAGCCCCUGGCUCAUUUAAAAUAUGUUUGCCGUUAUACCUUCAGUGCAUUCAUGACGCUGCUACGCAUCCACCCACCUCCCCAUCUACGUCUUCACUGGUUUAUCACUUAUCAUUCUACCAGCCUCAUCAGCCUCUAACGUUGAGCUAACGUUGAGCUAACGUUGAGCUGACGUUGAGCUGACGUGGAGCUAAUGUUGAGCCGCCGUUGAGCUGACGUUGAGCUAACGUUGGCCUGAGGUUAAGCUAACGUUAGUACAAGGAGCUCAAGCUCAUUGCGCUCACAUUUUGGCACAUUUCCUUUGAGGUAGAAAAUGUUGAUUAAUGUGCACUUUGGUGGUAAAUUAAUUCAUGGAUAGGAUCAGGAAAAUAAAUAAUUCAACCAUAAUAAAAACAAUGAACAUCCAAGUUGAGUUUUUAGUGCCGAGGAGCCGAAACGUGAACCUUUAAGAAGCGACGUUCACUUCCUGUUUGGGUUUUUUCAGUCAUGUCGUGUUGUUCUCUGAUUUGUCGCGUCAACAGAAGAAAGACAAACAUUGACCUUGUUGUCCCGACAAUCAGCCGUCGUUUAGCUAAGUUCAGCAUUUCAUAACUCUGCAGAUGGGCAUGGGAGCAAUUAGCGAGAGGCGGCGCUUGGGUCGCCCGGGUCGCCGUUAGCUUUAGUCACAGAAAUAUAAAUACGAGACAAAAAGCAGUUUGAAAGGAUGAAAAUAAGACUCGGUGGUGUCAUUAUGUAAUGAAUGUUGUUGGUCAGUCACAGUCACAUGCAGCCUCAUCAAUGCCUGUCUUUGUGUGUGUGUGUGUGUGUGUGUAGACAAAAGGCUGUCACAGCCAAUCAGUCCGUUUGUCCCCUGCAGCUGUUAGUCAGCACUUAAAGAGUCUCUGUGUGUCCAUCCAGAGAUAUAGAUAGCAGCAGUGCAGGGACACGUGGACGAGGAGACGCUCAAGUGUCCUCUGAAUAGACCGAGGGGAACAACGGAGCUUCAGUGCCGGGGGACAGAAACCCAAACUGGUCCCUCAGUGAAGAUCUUUGAGGUCCAGUUUAAAGGUCAAAGUUCAGAAACUAAAGAGACAGAGAUUUCUCACUUGUCUAAAAAAAACACAAUCACGUGAUCAUUCAUUUAUUAAACUCAAAGUUUUGUUUCUUGAACAGAAAAGACAUUUUCCAAUGUUGUGUUUCAUUUGAGUAUAUAUGUUUUGUGCAACUUUCCACUUUCUGUUAUUAUUUAAUGCAUUAAAUAACUAAAAUAUAACAACUAAAAAGAAUGCACUGUCAUACUGAUCUACUCUGUAAAGUCAAGUAGCACAUAAAGUGUCUAACACCUGCUUAACUUUAGUAAGCUAUAAUAUUAAAAUGCCCUUGUUCAUAUUUGUGAUGAUAAAUGAACAGUAUCAUUUUUUAUAAUGACAUUAGAUUAGACUUUAGAAGAUGCUAUUUUUGCAUCUUGAGGACUCGUUUCAAUGGAGCAUUUUUAUAAUUUAGAAUAGAGCCAGAUUAUUUCGGUAUCUCAAUUUUAUAUUGUAUUUUGAGCUCGAUGUAUUACCUGUAAUUAUUGUUUACUCAUGUUUUACAGUUACAUAAUACAUGUAUAUAUCAGGACUGCAGGAUGUGUAGAUGUGGCAGAAAUAACACAAAUUGUAAUAAAAUACCUUAAUUGACCGAGAGACAAGAGGUUUUCAAAGUGCUUUAGAUAAGAAAAUAAAGACAAAAUAUAUUUUUUUAAAUAUAUUAAAAUAUAUUAAACAAUAUAACAUGUGACAAUGAGACAUAACAGUAAAUCAACUGAUGAGGAGCUUCAGGUCAUUAAUAAAUAUAUUAUAGAUAAUGAACACGGUAAUAAAAUGUGUUUUAUUGGACAAGAAACUGAAAACAGAAAGUUGCGUCUCGUUAAAACUCGUUUUCAACAAGCGCUUUAAUUCAAUCAGAAACUUGUCAUGUGGAUUAAUGAGAGUUCGGCUAGCGUCCCUCAGUGUGUGUGUGUGUGUGUGUUAAUCCGCUCAGACAUCUGGUGUGUGUUUGUGUGCGUCUGUGUGUGUCUGUGCUCUGACAGCAGUGUACUCGGACAUUUUGGCUUCGUUCUCUGUUUGUUUUCAUGAUUAGAUAUGAAAUCAGCUGCUGAGACGUUCAGAUUCAUAUGGUUCACUUUAUGGUUCAUUCAACGUGAUUGUUGGGAGAAAAGAGUCUCAUAGGAGAACGUCAGAGUUGAUGACUGUUGUAUUGUUGCAGGUUAAACUUUUUUAUUUAAAGUUUUUAUUAGGUUCUGUUGUGUGGUUGUUGAUUCUGUGAGGAUCUUUAGUUUAGCAUAAACCCAUUUAACCCAUCAAAACCCAUAUAUAUAUCCAUCAAUAUAAAUCAAUAUCCAUCUUAACCCAUCAGUAUCCAUUGAUAUCUAUCCAGAACAGCACCGACAGAUACAAACACACACAUAUUGAAGUUCUAAAGCUGUUUUGCAAACACAUUUAAUCAUCACAAAACGACACACAUCAAUUGUGAUUGUUAGGCAGUUGUUAAUAUUUUCAUUGUUAGGUUACUCAUAUAUUUGCAGUAUUGUAGCUGUCUGAUAAGUCUCAUUUUAUGACAUAAUUAAACAGCCUCUUUACAUCAAAUCUGUGAUUCCUUUAUCUCCAAAAGUGAAAUGAAAUUCUGGAGGGUUCAUCCUCAGAGGAGCCCGACCGAAGGCGUCCUUCACCCAAACCAGCGUGAGCGGGUUUUUUUACAGGUUAAAAACUGCAACACGGGUUUGUUCCAAUGGGCUGUUCUGUUAGUGGGCACGUGUGUGUGUGUGUGUGUGUGUGUGUGUGUUUAUGUGGAAACAGUGGAAGCAGCUCACGACUCGGUUGAUUGAGUCGUUGAUUUAUUUUCGGGUUUUCUCCACAAGCUUAGAAGUCACCCCGUGGGCCUCGUUGCCUCAACCCUUAACCCCCCCAAACACACACACACACACACACACACACACACACACACAUACUGGGGGAGGCCUCAUGCUGGGUCAUCGCAUGGAGACCCCCCCCCUCCCCCCUGAGAUGGACCCCUCAGCAGCAGACUGGGGAUUCCCAAACAACGCUGCGUUGCUACGGUAACCUGACUAGCUGAGAGUACACACGAACACGUGGACCCACACACACGCACACACUCGGCCCUGUAUUGUUUCCUCUGCAGUGAAAACACAGGUUAUUACUGAAAUACAGACGCCAGAUUGACACAGCUGACCGUUUGUUAAGCCCCGCCCCUCUUUGUAACCCUUUUUGGAUCUGCAAAUUGUUUUAAUAUCCUCAGUUUCAAAGCUUCAUCUACAACUUUUAAACAGAUGAGCUAUGAGCAGAGUUCUAGCAGUUGUUAAUAAUAAAACAAAAUAAAAGCUACAUUUGUUAAAAUAUCAAUUCAAACCAGACUGUUUUAGUUUAGAAGCUGUGAUUUCAAUUCUGGUUCGUAAUUAUUUUCAUUAUUAUCAACCCGGGAUUUUUCUCCUAAAAAAAAACAAGUAAGCUUUAAGUACGUUAUAGUUCACAUGUGCGACUACCUCGUCAUUUCUUGUGCUGAUUGUAAACAUACAUGUUACAACCAGAGUGUUGAAACUAAAAUAAACGUUGUUGUGUAGAAUCCAACAAAUAACUGGUUCAUACAAGAGGAAGAUGAGCUUGGAGAAUAACAUUAAAUAACUGACCUAUCAUCUUCACGUGUUCUUCACUGUGGACAUUCAUUCUUGACCUUCGACCUACUGGCUUUUUCUUCUCUUCUCUUACUUAGUUUAUUGUUCUGCCCUUUUGUCAUUUUAUUAUCAUAGAAGAUAAAACAACACGAGGUAAGACGUGGUUUAUUGUCACAGUGGGAACAAUAGGGCCACAUUCAGCUUAAAAACAAUACUUAUCUAACAAGAUAGUAGAGAAGUCCAUGAAAGAAGCAUAACAACAUACCCUGUAAAUUACCAAAAUAAACACUAUCAGAUGUUUGAGAAAACAUUCAGCAUUUCUGGAAACAAGACGAUCGCUUCUCAGUCUGUGACUGCAGAUGAUCUCAAUGACCAAAUAAGGAAGCAGGUUGUUAGAACAUUAAGUGUGCGUGUGUGUGUGCGUGUGUGUGUGUGUGUGUGUGUGUGUGUGUGUGUGCAUUUGUUUAAAAGGAUUAGAUAUUUUACUGGAAAGAUUUUCACAGUGAGCUAGAACAAAGGAAGUGUGGCAGAAGGUCAAAUGCUUCAGGAAUGUUAAGAAUGAAGAGGGAGCUUCUCUGGAAACAGGAUUUCUCUCUCUCUCCCCCCCUUGUCUGUCUCUCUCUCUCUCUCUCUCUCUCUGGCAGUCUGUCUGUCCCUCUCUCUCCCCCCCUUGUCUCUCUCUCUCACCCCCCCUUAUCUGUCUCUCUCUCCCCCCAUUGAAUCAUUUAAAAUUAACUACUAAUAACUAAUAAAAUCCACAUGAAUCAUUCAAAAUAUGUAAAUAAUUGCAGCUGCAUUUUCGGUGGCCCUUCAUAAGACAACUUUUAUGCACAACAUGUGUGAGAUAUGUGACAUAUAUAUAUACAUAUAAAUAUAUGUUUUCCAGAGCUGGAAGAAGUACUGCGAUCAGUUUAUUUAAAACGUCUAAAGUAUUAACGUGAAAUAAUAUAUAUUUAUUAUUGAAACAUUCAUCUUACAGCUCUUUUAAUACAUUUAUAUCAUUUUUAAUAAUAUUUCACAUAUAAUACAAAUAUGUGGAGUGACUAAAUAUAUUAAUAAAAAUACAUCUGGAGCAGUUAAAUACAAUAUAAACUUCUUAGAUGCAUGAAGGAGAAGUAGAAAGAAACAUAAAAUCACACAGUGUAGGCAGGAUACUUGAGUAACUGUAAUAGUUACUUUCCUUGCAGCCGGUUCAACAUCUGGUGGAAAGACUGAAACUCUGCUUGUUUUCCUGUCAGAGCUGCAGAGACACAACUCCAUAUAUGGGCGUAGAUGAUGUCACCGUCUGUGCACCAGCAUAAGCCAAUUAGAGCGGGUCAGCAGCGCGCCGAGACUCCGACCUGAACCUGGACCAGACUGAGAGCACAGGACGGCCUGCUCUGCUACUGCACACACACACACACACACACACACACACACACACACACACUGGUGCUGCAGGGAAAUUCUAUCCGGAGAACUGUUUGUGCUGGAAUACCAUCACAUGUCAUGACACAGGAAUGCAGCGCUCUGAUCUGAAACCAGACAGCGAGUCCUGCAGAGACCACCGGAGGUCCCGCCUCUGCCUGCAGACUUACUGCAACACAGCGCCUAUUACCCAUGAUGCACCAUCGCCGUGAACCCGGACCUGCUUUCUCCAUCUGUUUGUGUCUGUUCUGGUGCUUCAUGUCUAUCUUACCUCAUCGCUAUAUCACAUCUUCAACUCAUCUCUAGUUCAUGUCUAUCUGAAACCAGACAGCGAGUCCUGCAGAGACCACCGGAGGUCCCGCCUCUGCCUGCAGACUUACUGCAACACAGCACCUAUUACCCAUGAUGCACCAUCGUCGAAAAUCAGAUAAAGAUGAGACAUCUUUAUCUGAUUUUCACCUUUAUCUCGUUCUCCACCUCAUCUCAUCUCAUCUCAUCUCAUCUCCAUCAUUAUAUGUUUUUUUAAUGAUUUGCUCAGUUCGUUUGGAUCAGGAAAUGUCUUGAUAGAGAACUUGUUGGAUCCAUAAAACGUUCUUAUGUCAUUAACUGUGAAAGACAAGCAUUAUGUGAACGUGAUAUCAUGCUGGGGGGGAUCUCAGUGGACGCGGGGUGAGGGGCGGGGCUUGUACCUGGGCAGGACGCCAGCCUGUCACAGGACCGACGCGGGGACAGACGGUUCUUCGCAGUGUGGGAACAUGUUGACCUGAUUCACUGACCUGCAUGAGUUUGGACUGCAGGAGAUACAAGGAGAGCAAAACUCCUCAAUGAAGGGCCCAAAAUAUGAAAACAAUGAUUGAACCUGUGCAGCAAUUUAUGCCCCAAUUAGUAACCAACAUCAUUGAAAUCAGUGAAGUUUCUAAAGGUGCGUCACUAAUUCACCGUCUAAUCUCACCAGUCAGCGUUCAACCCUCUGACCUGUCAAUCAUUGAAUCCCGCCUGGCUGCAGAAACAGGAGCUGCACAACCAAAAGUGCUGCUGAGGUCACGCUGACAUGGUGGAAACACAACGGAGAGUUUCUGCUCUGCACAAACUUCACAAGUGCACCUUCACACGCAGAUGGUGGGUUUCAGGUGUCACAGACGUGGGAGUUUAGAUUUGAGUCGGGUUUCAGUUACAAUUCUAGUUUGUUUAUAAGGUGUGAAAAGGGCAGCAGAUAUAAAGAGAGAGGGAGAGAGAGAGAGAGAGGGGGGGGGACAGGACAUUCCCGCAACUUAUGCAACAAGCUGCAAACACUCACCUGUGGCCUCAUGGGAAAUGUAGUGCACAUCAGCGUCACAAGAAUAAACCCAGAGCGUCUGAUGCAUUCAAGUACAACGUGAGAGCGUAAGACGUUAAAACAAGUUGGCUCGCUGGACUCGUGUAAACCUGAGGACCGAGACGUGAAGGGUGGGACGGAAAAGAGACGUCCCUGUCCUCCGGUGUCCUUAAGAAGCAGGCCGCACUUCUAUAUAUGCAGGAUUAUAUACAAUCUUCAUAGUUUGGGAUUUGUAGCACAACAUAAAUGACUUUAACUCAUGUAACAACUUAAUAAUUAAUCAAUAAUUAAAUUCACCGUAAGAUUUUGAAUUUUCCUUUGUUGUGUUUGUUAUGUUUUGAAAGUCAGAACUCUGUACCGACGGUCCGUGGUUCUCCAGGGAAGCCGAGCUGCUGUUCAGGCUGUGGGGGUCUCAGGGUCUCAGACAGGCAGCAGCUGGUCCAGCGAGGCAGCAACCGGGGGGUGAUUGAGACGGGUUAGGGGGGGGGGGGGGACGGACGCACAAUUAGCAGCCUGGACCGGCGUGCUGAGGACGGAGAGCGUUUGGGAAGCGCUCCUCUUUAACAUCUGUUGUUCUCAUGUCAUGUGACCCCCCCCAUCAUCACUAAUGAGGACAGACAGUCUCCUCUUCAUUCCUCCGUCUGCUGUCAACAGACAGAAACGUCACAAACGGCUGAUUAAAAAAUACUUCACCUCGUCAUUAUUCUCAUAAUGUUGUUUAUGUUUGUCACCUUUAAACUGCAUGUUUAUUUUUUAACAACUUUGUUUUUGCACAUUGACUCGUGAUUCUUGCCGUUUGUUUGUCUCCUGAGGAUCCAGAGCUCUUUGUCCUCCACAUGGAGACGUGUGCAGCAGUGCAUGCUGGGACCGCUUCCUGUUUCAUGCUGAUGGCUGAACAGGAAGUGAACGACACACAGGAAGACGCAUCAGAGAGUCUUCAACGUCUUCCAGCUGGGAAUGAGACUUAAAAUAAUAAAACAGUUUUAUUUGUCCAGCACCUUUUAAAAACAAAGAACAAGAAUCCCCCCAAACCUUUAUUCUCACUUAAUCACGCUUCCCGACGCGACUGUUCUCAUCCUCGGAAAAGUUACUCCAGAUUCCUGCUCGCUAGAUGAGUAAUUAUUUUCAAAAUAAACUACCGUCUUCACAGGAAACUGCAUUUGGAAUAAGAGGGUUGAGUUCCAAUAAAUACAGAAGUACAGAGUGUCGAUAAGAAGAAGACGUCUCUUCUUGGUUUGUGACGUUUUGAAGCCUCACGUUCGUCUUUUAGCCGUCGCCAUCUUGCUUUUAAAACAAAUGAACAGGAAGUCGCUCAUUCGUAGUGAGGACGAGCAAUGCAGAGACGCCGUUAACCUGUCAAUCACUGUUGAGCCCCGCCCCAAAGCAUCCCCUGCUUUAACGUAUUUGUCCCUAAAUGGACCGCGGAGACCAUGAUAAGAGACAGUUAUCUGCUGGAGGACAGAUCUCCGUCGGUUGGACACGUCUCACUUCACUCUUUGUGUGAUAUAAACACACAGAACAAAGUCCCCGUCCCCUCCUGUGAAGCUCAAAGACAGCAGCAGGACUUUAACGUCCAGGUGUCUCGUGGACAACAACUCUCCCAUCACUGCGUACAGUGUUAACGUCUUCCUGUCUUUGUCCCAGAGAGACGUGAGUGAGCCCCGUCCUCCUUCAGGACAGGGACUGAACCUUUCCUUGACUCCGACUCUGGUCCCCUCCUCGCCGGUCCGUCCCCCCUCGGUCCUCCUCUCCGCGCCGCUCAUUGUUGUCCCAAUGUGAACGUCUCUCAGGUCGGCUCGGACGGGACAAUGGUCUUUUGUCCUCGAGCGGAGAGCACUUCCUCCCCUCCUCCGUGUCCUUAGCGGCCCGUCGCCGCAGCACAAACGAGCCGCUGACAAACCCGAGGACGGCCGGGGGACAAACGUCCCCGAGGCGGACAAUGAGCCGCAGCUGGAAUGUGAAAUAAUGAUGGCGGCAGACAUCCUGCUCACGUUCUCUGUCUCCUUCUGUCCCUCUCACUUCGUCUCACACCCAUCAAGACAAAUGUCCCGUUUGUUGACAUUCACAGGGACCGCGACCUGAAGCUGAGAGGAAGAGAUCAGUGGACAGACACCAUCCAAGGACGAGAGGCAAUAUGAGGACACGUACUAAUAUACACAGCAAGUAUUUGAUAUGUAACGGUCCUCAGGAGACUCUUUGAUGUAUCAAAAUAACAACUGUGGUCCUCUUAUUUAUUCAACCAUUGAAAAGGAUUCAAACACACAGUUUGGUGCAUGUUUGAAAUGCUGCACGCACACAGACAGACACACACAGACACACACACACAGACGCACACUGGGUGUUUCCUCUGAAGGCCGUCUGAGGCCUCGUGGCCUGCGGGUUUGGAUCAAAGACUCUCAGGUACGGAAUGUCCUCAACUGUCGGACUGUCUUCUGACGGGAGAGAAGCUUCGCUGCGUUCGCCCGUUCGGUCGCCGCAGAGGUCACGUGACGGACGGCGCUGGCGUCACGCCGGGUCUCCUGCG
Gasterosteus aculeatus aculeatus (three-spined stickleback) is the source of this 11464-nucleotide long non-coding RNA. NCBI's taxonomy places the organism in Eukaryota, Metazoa, Chordata, Actinopteri, Perciformes, Gasterosteidae. The record is from Ensembl.